ACAUUAGCAUCUAUUUGAGUCUCUGUCUGACUGACGUUACCUGACAAACGAAACUCGGCAGCUACGGUUUAUCUUGACAAAUGCCAGCUGCAGAGGGUCACUUUAAAGAACUGGCCUUCAGGGGCUUUCCUGCUUUUAGGAGUCAAUGUAAUGCAGCCGCUCUGACAGAGCGAAGCAACACCCCACUGGCCUUGAAGAAAGCAACCAGGAAAGGCUGCUUGGACUGAGGCCCAUUCCUCCCAAUGAUUCCACCAGAUUUCAUGUUGAUGCUUCGCCCUGUAAAAAAC
Trematomus bernacchii (emerald rockcod) is the source of this 287-nucleotide long non-coding RNA. RefSeq lists it as uncharacterized. Lineage: Eukaryota; Metazoa; Chordata; Actinopteri; Perciformes; Nototheniidae. The record is from RefSeq and is a predicted model, not a curated record. The transcript is spliced from 3 exons.